This 61-nucleotide transfer RNA is filed under the name Tropostreptus severus. Its description in RNAcentral is "tRNA-Arg". Lineage: Eukaryota; Metazoa; Arthropoda; Diplopoda; Spirostreptida; Spirostreptidae. The record is from RNAcentral.
AAAUAAGAAGUGAAAAAUCACAGCCAAUUUCGACUUGGUCCUUGAAUUAUGUCCUUAUUUU